RNAcentral lists this long non-coding RNA (339 nucleotides) under Parus major (Great Tit). Its description in RNAcentral is "lncRNA (ENSPMJG00000013965.1)". Lineage: Eukaryota; Metazoa; Chordata; Aves; Passeriformes; Paridae. The record is from RNAcentral.
CCAGGCUAAUUUUGCUGUGUUGUUUCAGGUCUCCAGCUGAGCCAGCCCAGGCUGGAACUGCCUCAGCCCGAUGCUGCUACAGAAAAGGAAAAAUAUUGGAAGUCUUCAAACUGUGAUACUUAGAAAGAAAAUGCAAAUAUGAGAUCAAGCAGAGGCUUCUGCAGAUCUCCGUACCUCACACGGAUAAGGAGCAGCAACACGCGCCCAAGUGUCUGAAGGGCUCUGCAAGGCGGACGAAACACGCCGUACCAAGACCUCUCCUCAGGGAGCUAUCUGCCCCAGAACCCACUCAACUUUUUUAAUUCUCACUCUAAAACCCGUCAGGCAACACAACGAGGG